AGAGUUUGAUCAUGGCUCAGGACGAACGCUGGCGGCGCGCCUAACACAUGCAAGUCGAGUGAGAACCGGAGCUUCGGCUCCGGGGACAGCGGCGAACGGGUGAGUAACACGUGGAUAACCUGCCCUCGGCACCGGAAUAGCCCGGGGAAACUCGGAUUAAUGCCGGAUAGCCCCACAUCCCUGCGGGGAACGUGGGAAAAGGUAGCUUCGGCCUCUGGCCGAGGAUGGGUCCGCGGUGGAUUAGCUUGUUGGUGGGGUAAUGGCCCACCAAGGCGACGAUCCAUAGCUGGUCUGAGAGGACGAUCAGCCACACUGGGACUGAGACACGGCCCAGACUCCUACGGGAGGCAGCAGUGGGGAAUCUUGCGCAAUGGGCGAAAGCCUGACGCAACGACGCCGCGUGCGGGAAGAAGGCCUUAGGGUUGUAAACCGCUUUCAGGAGGGACGAAGCCACUCGGGUGAAUAGCCCAGAGGGUGACGGUACCUCCAGAAGAAGCCCCGGCUAACUACGUGCCAGCAGCCGCGGUA
This 528-nucleotide ribosomal RNA is filed under the name uncultured Actinomycetes bacterium. Its description in RNAcentral is "bacterial SSU rRNA". It matches the Rfam family "Bacterial small subunit ribosomal RNA", at positions 8 to 522 of the family's 1533-position model. The record is from RNAcentral. Lineage: Bacteria; Bacillati; Actinomycetota; Actinomycetes.